RNAcentral lists this ribosomal RNA (402 nucleotides) under uncultured Candidatus Solibacter sp. Its description in RNAcentral is "bacterial SSU rRNA". It matches the Rfam family "Bacterial small subunit ribosomal RNA", at positions 355 to 774 of the family's 1533-position model. Lineage: Bacteria; Pseudomonadati; Acidobacteriota; Terriglobia; Bryobacterales; Solibacteraceae. The record is from RNAcentral.
UGGGGAAUCUUGCACAAUGGGGGAAACCCUGAUGCAGCGACGCCGCGUGAGCGAUGAAGCCCUUCGGGGUGUAAAGCUCUUUCGGCAGGGACGAUAAUGACGGUACCUGCAGAAGCAGCUGCGGCUAACUACGUGCCAGCAGCCGCGGUAAUACGUAGGCAGCGAGCGUUGUUCGGAGUUACUGGGCGUAAAGGGUGUGUAGGCGGUUCUCUAAGUUUGGUGUGAAAUCUCCCGGCUCAACCGGGAGGGUGCGCCGAAAACUGGAGGGCUAGAGUGCGGGAAGGGAGAGUAGAAUUCCUGGUGUAGCGGUGAAAUGCGUAGAUAUCAGGAGGAAUACCGGUGGUGCAGACGGCUCUCUGGACCGCGACUGACGCUGAGACACGAAAGCGUGGGUAGCAAACA